AUGACGGCAAUAGUUCAAUACACAUUUGACAAGAUGAAUGCGUACUUUGUAAAGUACUCGAUGGAAACCGAUGCACAGAUAGCGGGUGAGAACCCACGGAAGUACAAGUACAAGUUCCCACCCAAAGUUGAUGAAUGGUUGCUAUUUCAAUCACGGAAGGCGGACUCAGAAGAAGCUAUAUUAUAUGACAAUGAGGAGUGGAAGUACGAAGUGAAAGAGCCAGGAGAAACCACAAACGAUGGCCGGCAACAUGGAGGUCGGGCUUUCAAGGUGUUGUUAACACAAUGUGAUUGCACUUGCGGGAGGCCAUUGUUGCUUCAUCUCCCAUGCUCACAUUUGUAUGCCGCCGGCCGCGUUAGGAAUGUGGACAUCAAUCACCCACGCACCGUGAGGGAGUCCCAGUUCUCAAUCAUGACGGUCAAGAAAACAUGGGCUCCCCGCUUUCACCCAUACUUUGACCAAUCACAAUGGCCGGAGUAUCAUGGAGUUCAACUAUGGCCGGAUCCG
Molecule: ribosomal RNA, 507 nt
Filed under: Triticum aestivum (bread wheat)
Lineage: Eukaryota; Viridiplantae; Streptophyta; Magnoliopsida; Poales; Poaceae
Description: partial small subunit ribosomal RNA
Source: RNAcentral